This 433-nucleotide ribosomal RNA is filed under the name uncultured bacterium. RNAcentral's name for it is "bacterial SSU rRNA". It matches the Rfam family "Bacterial small subunit ribosomal RNA", at positions 29 to 504 of the family's 1533-position model. The record is from RNAcentral.
AACGAACGCUGGCGGCAGGCCUAACACAUGCAAGUCGAACGCCCUAGCAAUAGGGAGUGGCAGACGGGUGAGUAACACGUGGGAACCUUCCCUAUAGUACGGAAUAUACCAGGGAAACUUGGAGCAAUACCGUAUACGCCCGAGAGGGGAAAGAUUUAUCGCUAUAGGAUGGGCCCGCGUAGGAUUAGCUAGUUGGUGAGGUAAUGGCUCACCAAGGCGACGAUCCUUAGCUGGUUUGAGAGAACGACCAGCCACACUGGGACUGAGACACGGCCCAGACUCCUACGGGAGGCAGCAGUGGGGAAGUAUUGGACAAUGGGCGGCAAGACCUGAUCCAGCCAUGCCGCCGUGAGUGAUGAAGGCCUUAGGGUUGUAAAGCUCUUUUGCCGGGACGAUAAUGACGGUACCCGGAGAAUAAGUCCCGGCUAACUUC